GCGCUAUAGGAUGAGCCUACUUCCGAUUAGCUAGUUGGCGGGGUAAUGGCCCACCAAGGCGACGAUCGGUAGCUGGUCUGAGAGGGCGACCAGCCACACUGGGACUGAGACACGGCCCAG
RNAcentral lists this ribosomal RNA (120 nucleotides) under uncultured bacterium. RNAcentral describes it as "partial 16S ribosomal RNA". It matches the Rfam family "Bacterial small subunit ribosomal RNA", at positions 215 to 334 of the family's 1533-position model. The record is from RNAcentral.